This 1463-nucleotide long non-coding RNA is filed under the name Macaca fascicularis (crab-eating macaque). Its description in RNAcentral is "lncRNA (ENSMFAG00000060806.1)". The record is from RNAcentral. Lineage: Eukaryota; Metazoa; Chordata; Mammalia; Primates; Cercopithecidae.
AAACCCCGUCUCUACUAAAAAAUACAAAAAACUAGCCGGGCGAGGUGGCAGGUGCCUGUAGUCCCAGCUACUCGGGAGGCUGAGCCAGGAGAAAGGCAUAAACCCGGGAGGCGGAGCUUUCAGUGAGCUGAGAUCCGGCCACUGCACUCCAGCCUGGGCGACAGAGCUAGUCUCCAUCUCAAAAAAAAAAAAAAGAAAAGAAAAAGGAGUGUUGACCAUCCUGGUCAAGAUGGUGAAGCCCCGCCUCUACUAAAAAUACAAAAAUUAACCAGGCGCGGUGGCUCGAGCCUGUAAUCCCAGCACUCUGGGAGGCCGAGGCAGGCAGAUCACGAGGUCAGGAGUUGGAGACCAGCCUGGCCAACAUGGUGAAACCCUGUCUCUACUAAAAAUACAAAAAUUAGCCAAGUGUGGUGGUGGGCACCUGUAAUCCCAGCUACUCAGGAGGCUGAGGCAGGAGAAUUGCUUGAACCUGGGAGGCGGAGGUUGCAGUGAGUCGAGGAUGGGCCAUUGCACUCCAGCCUAGGUGACACAGUGAGGCUCCGUUUCAAAAAAACAAAAGAAGAGAGUGUUGGGUCUGACCCUGAUGAUGCCACAGCAAGGUCAGAUUUCAGUGAGUCUGAGCUCAGGCCACUAGCCCCAGGGCCAGCCCUUGAGGGCAAAAUUUUCUCAGAAUGCACGUUUGUGAUCUGUGGUUACCUAAAGGCAACCAAUGCCAGGGAAAAGGCAAAACCAAAGGGUGGUGGGAAACGGAGGAGUAACGUGAAGAACUGAGCCACCUGUAGACCACCCCCGUCAGCUUCCUGAAAUACCUUCACUCAGAUGGAUCUCAGCUCACUGCAAGUCAAAUUUGGAGGCUCUGUCUUUGGUGCUAAACGCUUCCGAGUGGAAGAGCUCGGUUGGUGCAGGACCCACAGCUCAGUGCUGGACAAUCACAGACGAGUGCACAGUAAGAUCCGUUGACUCUAAGAAGAGGGGCUGCCUGAAUCCACCUGUAAACCCCGAGAGAAGCAGCCCCGUGGGGCUGGCGUUGUGAUGACCAGGAAGUUCACCCACGGAAUACGCCUGUUACCCAGGUCACGGUAAAUGCUGUGGUUAGAGGACACCCAUUUUCAUGGGCACCUUAUGUAACCUGACCGCUGCAAAGCUGAAAGAUAGUUCAGGGAGCCUCAUCCAAUUUGCUGUCUUAGCUUCCCCUCAUGGGUCUUACAGAUGCCAAGAAAAAGAUGAGGUUAACCAACAGAAGAACCGGGAAACGCAAAAGGGGAACUCAAAGGACUCAAUCAAGAGAAGAUGGAAAUUGUUAAAGGGUCAUUAAGAAAUAAGACCAGGCUGGGCAUGGUGACUCAUGCCUAUAAUCCCAGCAUGUUGGGAGGCUGAAGCACCAGGAUUGCUUGAGCCUAAGAUUUUGAGAACAGCGUGGGUUGACAUAGGGAGACCCCCUCUCUCCAAAAAAAAAAAAAAAA